GUGACUCCAAGAUGCUGCCAGUUUGCUUGGUCUUGGGGCUUCUUGGAAGAGUUGGUAGUUUUCUGUUUUCUUUCUUUCUUUUUAUUCUUUCUUUUUUCAGUCUUUGAGGCGGCUUGGAGAAAGCUGGUAGCUUCCUAUACGUAUAUAUUUUAAAAUCCUCUGUUCUUUCCUUUCCAUUAUUUCUAUGCAAUGAGAAAAGCUCAGGUAGUCGGAAAUGGCUUUUUCUUUCUCUUUCAGCUUGGGGUACCCUCUUCAGCCCUUGAGGUCUGUCUACACACCCUUAUUUCAGAGAGAAUCUGUGGCAUUGAGAAAGACCACACUGCCUGGGUUCAGAUCCUUAGUAAUGAUUGUGGCAGCAGGUUCUAGUGUGGUCCUGCCUCCUGGUAUUCACACCACGGUAUUCCCUCCCUUUAAGUGUGAGCUGGACCUGGUCACUUGCUCCUAAAGAAUAGAAUACUGCAUAAGUGAUGAAAUGUUAAUUCUGAGAAUAGGCUAAAAGAAACCAUGAAUUCCUUCUUGUUCUCUCUGCCUCUGCCUCUGCCUCUCUGUCUCUCUGUCUCUGUCUCUGUCUCUGUCUCUGUCUCUCUCUCUCUCUCUCACCUGCACACUUGGAGGGAGAAAGCUGCUAUAUUGGAGAUCCCCUCCAGAGUGCUCUUCCUGUCUUCAACCAGAUCCAGCAUCCUGAACUUCAAAGUAUCAUCUGGAUUGAACAGCCAGUACAAGACCCUCGGUCCUACAAUCUGCGAGAAAUCGAAUUCUGCCAGCAAGCAAUUCACAGACGUGGAAACUGAGAAUCAGAGAAGAAUGAACUUUGCCUAAGGUCACCCAACGAAUUCAUGGCAAGGCUGGGAUUCCCAAGCCUGGAGCUCCUGAGCUAUUUCCCCUGCUUUGGCACCAUCUGAAACAUCUGUGAAAUGGGCACAAUCAAAAGUGGCUAUCUGUGAAUAAAGUCAUUGUCCCCAUCCAACAGAAGGUGAUAUAUAUCUUUAAUAAUGAAUAAAAAGGCCAGGCACGGUGGCUCAAGUCUGUAAUCCCAGCACUUUGGGAGGCCGAGACGGGCGGAUCACAAGGUCAGGAGAUCGAGACCAUCCUGGCUAACACGGUGAAACCCCGUUUCUACUAAAAAACAUACAAAAAACUAUCCGGGUGAGGUGGCGGGCGCCUGUAGUCCCAGCUACUCCAGAGACUGAGGCAGGAGAAUGGCGUAAACCCGGGAGGCAGAGCUUGCAGUGAGCUGGGAUCCGGCCACUGCACUCUAGCCUGGGCGACAGAGCGAGACUCCGUCUCAAAAAAAAAAAAAAAAAAAAAUAAUAAUAAUGAAUAAAAAGCCAGACUCUAGUGUGAAGGGAUGAAAAUAAACAUUCAUCCAGCUCCUAAUGUAUACCAGGAUGGUUCUCAUGUUAAUUUAUACUAACUUGUUCUUCUGUAUGUUCCCCACAUUCUACAAGGUGGGGAUGAUCUUUUCAUUUCACAGACGGGGAAGCAGACUCAGAGAGGUUGAUGGAGUCCGCAUUGUGGCAAGUGGCAGAGCUGGCAUACGAGCCUGAACCUAUCCUGAUCUGAGGACCUCUUCACUGUGGCGAGUAGCAGAGCUGGCACACGAACCUGAACCUGUCCUGAUCUGAGGACCUCCUCUCGCCAUCGCUCCUUUCUGCUCCAUGCUAAUGAGGCACAUUUAGCGUUCUUUCAAACCCUGCUCAGUCUGCAGAGGAGGUGCAUUAUCAAUACGGUUGACCCUCAGACAACGCAGGGAUUAAGGGUGCUGAGUCCCCAGCCACGCACAGACACAAAUCUGCAUAUAACUUUUUACUCCCCAAAACUUAACAACCAAUAGCCUAACGUUGACCCGAACCCUUACUGAGAGCAUAAACUGUGGGAUAAUACAGAUUUUGGAUGAUAACACAUGUUUUGGACAUCCUGCUUUAAAAUCUGCCCAACCUAGUGUUCCUGGCAGCCAUUACCAAUCUAUCACCAAACUUGGAUCAUGAGAUCCACAUUAUUUGCCUUUCCAGGUGUGAUCUGGAAACCAU
Molecule: long non-coding RNA, 2030 nt
Organism: Papio anubis (olive baboon)
Lineage: Eukaryota; Metazoa; Chordata; Mammalia; Primates; Cercopithecidae
Source: Ensembl